Molecule: ribosomal RNA, 402 nt
Filed under: uncultured bacterium
Lineage: Bacteria
Description: bacterial SSU rRNA
Rfam family: Bacterial small subunit ribosomal RNA
Source: RNAcentral
AAUGAACGCUGGCGGCGCGCCUAAUACAUGCAAGUCGAGCGAGAAGACGUAGCAAUACGUUUGUAAGGCGGCGAACGGGUGAGGAAUACAUGGGUAACCUACCCUCGAGUGGGGAAUAACUAGCCGAAAGGUUAGCUAAUACCGCGUACGCUUCUUGGACUUCGGUUCAGGGAGGAAAGCGAUACCGUGGGUAUCGCGCUCUUGGAUGGGCUCAUGUCCUAUCAGCUUGUUGGUGAGGUAACGGCUCACCAAGGCUUCGACGGGUAGCUGGUCUGAGAGGACGAUCAGCCACACUGGCACUGCGACACGGGCCAGACUCCUACGGGAGGCAGCAGUAAGGAAUAUUGCGCAAUGGGCGAAAGCCUGACGCAGCGACGCCGCGUGGGGGAGUGAAGGUACGUU